Molecule: non-coding RNA, 74 nt
Organism: Pangasianodon gigas (Mekong giant catfish)
Lineage: Eukaryota; Metazoa; Chordata; Actinopteri; Siluriformes; Pangasiidae
Source: the annotation of a GenBank genome assembly
GGAAGUUCUGGCUCAGAGUUUAAGGCUUUGGGCUCCUGAGCAGAAGGUCAUGAGUUCAAAUCCCAGCGCUUCCA